This 106-nucleotide ribosomal RNA is filed under the name Pteropus alecto (black flying fox). Lineage: Eukaryota; Metazoa; Chordata; Mammalia; Chiroptera; Pteropodidae. The record is from RNAcentral.
GUCUAUGGCCAUGCUACCUUGAACAAGUCCAAUCCUGUCUGAUCACGGAAGCUAAGCAGGGUCGGGCCUAGUUAAUACUUGGAUGGGAGACCAGGUGCUGUAUGCG